This is a long non-coding RNA of Panicum hallii, 595 nucleotides long. RefSeq lists it as uncharacterized. The transcript has 3 exons. Lineage: Eukaryota; Viridiplantae; Streptophyta; Magnoliopsida; Poales; Poaceae. The record is from RefSeq and is a predicted model, not a curated record.
UCAUGUGUUUAGUAUUUAUAAACAACAGCUGUCUACAUUGUUUUGCAUAAUCUGAGGCGUUCUCAAAAGGUGACCGAUGUGAUUGUGGCGAGCAUCUUGAUAAGAACAUGAACCGAAGGCCCGCUGUGUGUUUGAAUGGGCACCUGCCGAUGAAGCUUGCACCCCUGAAUGGGCCUAGACCAUAUUUCAUCAACGUACCCUUUGCACCCAACUGCAGCCCAUUAGGAAGCCACUUCGUUUAGUGUGGCCGAGGCCCACGGAAGUAGCACGUUGAGAUCUUGCUACGCCCUUCCCCUCCCUUCCCUCUCCCUCUUCUCUUCUGCCCGCCGCCAUUCUGCUCUGGCGCUGUGGAGCGCCGCGGAGCCCUUUCCCUUCCCGACCUCGCGCCUCAGGCUUUUGUGAUGCCAUCUUGGUUUUGAAGACAUCUACGCAGGUUGAGAACUCCUAUAUUGAUCGAUCGCAGGACAGGACGCGCAGUCGACUUUGGAGCUUUGAAGAUCGGCCAGUAUGUCUCCAUCCAUCGAGUCGACGAUUGGCUUCUCGCGGCGGUUUCUUAAUCUGAUUGUGGGCAACCGUACUCCUGGUGUCAAAUCGC